GUGAACAAGCUGGAAAGCUUGGCGAUACAGGGUGAUAGCCCCGUAACCGACGCUUCAUCGAGCGUGAAAUCGAGUAGGGCGGGACACGUGAUAUCCUGUCUGAAUAUGGGGGGACCAUCCUCCAAGGCUAAAUACUCCUGACUGACCGAUAGUGAACCAGUACCGUGAGGGAAAGGCGAAAAGAACCCCUGUGAGGGGAGUGAAAUAGAACCUGAAACCGUGUACGUACAAGCAGUAGGAGCACCUUCGUGGUGUGACUGCGUACCUUUUGUAUAAUGGGUCAGCGACUUAUAUUCAGUGGCAAGGUUAACCGUAUAGGGGAGCCGUAGCGAAAGCGAGUCUUAACUGGGCGCUCAGUCUCUGGAUAUAGACCCGAAACCGGGUGAUCUAGCCAUGGGCAGGUUGAAGGUUGAGUAACAUCAACUGGAGGACCGAACCGACUAAUGUUGAAAAAUUAGCGGAUGACUUGUGGCUAGGGGUGAAAGGCCAAUCAAACUCGGAGAUAGCUGGUUCUCCCCGAAAGCUAUUUAGGUAGCGCCUCGGACGAAUACUACUGGGGGUAGAGCACUGUUAAGGCUAGGGGGUCAUCCCGACUUACCAACCCUUUGCAAACUCCGAAUACCAGUAAGUACUAUCCGGGAGACACACGGCGGGUGCUAACGUCCGUCGUGGAGAGGGAAACAACCCAGACCGCCAGCUAAGGUCCCAAAGUAUUGCUAAGUGGGAAACGAUGUGGGAAGGCUCAGACAGCUAGGAUGUUGGCUUAGAAGCAGCCAUCAUUUAAAGAAAGCGUAAUAGCUCACUAGUCGAGUCGGCCUGCGCGGAAGAUGUAACGGGGCUAAGCAAUACACCGAAGCUGCGGCAAUGUCUUUUAGACAUUGGGUAGGGGAGCGUUCUGUAAGCCGUUGAAGGUGAAUCGUAAGGUUUGCUGGAGGUAUCAGAAGUGCGAAUGCUGACAUGAGUAACGACAAAGGGGGUGAAAAACCUCCUCGCCGGAAGACCAAGGGUUCCUGUCCAACGUUAAUCGGGGCAGGGUGAGUCGACCCCUAAGGUGAGGCCGAAAGGCGUAAUCGAUGGGAAACGGGUUAAUAUUCCCGUACUUCUGACUAUUGCGAUGGGGGGACGGAGAAGGCUAGGUGGGCCAGGCGACGGUUGUCCUGGUUCAAGUGCGUAGGCUUGAGAGUUAGGUAAAUCCGGCUCUCUCUAAGGCUGAGACACGACGUCGAGCUACUACGGUAGUGAAGUCAUUGAUGCCAUGCUUCCAGGAAAAGCCUCUAAGCUUCAGAUAGUCAGGAAUCGUACCCCAAACCGACACAGGUGGUCGGGUAGAGAAUACCAAGGCGCUUGAGAGAACUCGGGUGAAGGAACUAGGCAAAAUGGUACCGUAACUUCGGGAGAAGGUACGCUCUUGAUGGUGAAGUCCCUCGCGGAUGGAGCUGACGAGAGUCGCAGAUACCAGGUGGCUGCAACUGUUUAUUAAAAACACAGCACUGUGCAAAAUCGCAAGAUGACGUAUACGGUGUGACGCCUGCCCGGUGCCGGAAGGUUAAUUGAUGGGGUUAGCGCAAGCGAAGCUCUUGAUCGAAGCCCCGGUAAACGGCGGCCGUAACUAUAACGGUCCUAAGGUAGCGAAAUUCCUUGUCGGGUAAGUUCCGACCUGCACGAAUGGCGUAAUGAUGGCCACGCUGUCUCCACCCGAGACUCAGUGAAAUUGAAAUCGCUGUGAAGAUGCAGUGUACCCGCGGCUAGACGGAAAGACCCCGUGAACCUUUACUACAGCUUGGCACUGAACAUUGAACCUACAUGUGUAGGAUAGGUGGGAGGCUAUGAAGACGUGACGCCAGUUGCGUUGGAGCCGUCCUUGAAAUACCACCCUUGUAUGUUUGAUGUUCUAACUUAGACCCAUUAUCUGGGUUGAGGACAGUGCCUGGUGGGUAGUUUGACUGGGGCGGUCUCCUCCCAAAGAGUAACGGAGGAGCACGAAGGUGGGCUAAUCACGGUUGGACAUCGUGAGGUUAGUGCAAUGGCAUAAGCCCGCUUAACUGCGAGAAUGACGGUUCGAGCAGGUGCGAAAGCAGGUCAUAGUGAUCCGGUGGUUCUGUAUGGAAGGGCCAUCGCUCAACGGAUAAAAGGUACUCCGGGGAUAACAGGCUGAUACCGCCCAAGAGUUCAUAUCGACGGCGGUGUUUGGCACCUCGAUGUCGGCUCAUCACAUCCUGGGGCUGAAGUCGGUCCCAAGGGUAUGGCUGUUCGCCAUUUAAAGUGGUACGCGAGCUGGGUUUAGAACGUCGUGAGACAGUUCGGUCCCUAUCUGCCGUGGGCGUUGGAAGAUUGAAGGGGGCUGCUCCUAGUACGAGAGGACCGGAGUGGACGAACCUCUGGUGUUCGGGUUGUGUCGCCAGACGCAUUGCCCGGUAGCUAAGUUCGGAAUUGAUAAGCGCUGAAAGCAUCUAAGCGCGAAGCGAGCCCUGAGAUGAGUCUUCCCUGACAGUUUAACUGUCCUAAAGGGUUGUUCGAGACUAGAACGUUGAUAGGCAGGGUGUGUAAGCGUUGUGAGGCGUUGAGCUAACCUGUACUAAUUGCCCGUGAGGCUUAACCAU
Molecule: ribosomal RNA, 2600 nt
Filed under: Vibrio cholerae
Lineage: Bacteria; Pseudomonadati; Pseudomonadota; Gammaproteobacteria; Vibrionales; Vibrionaceae
Description: partial 23S ribosomal RNA
Rfam family: Bacterial large subunit ribosomal RNA
Source: RNAcentral